AGAAACUUGGGCACCGGAAAAACCAUUAGACAUUGACAUUGUUAAAAAUAGGCUGACAUGAUGCUCACAAUUACAAGAAUCCAACAAAAUUGACAUCUCCAUUACAGAGAUGAAAAGAGAUGAAGUAGCUUCUGAUAACCAACACUUCCAGACUUUGAACCCAAGGACAAAAUAAACACUACAUUAAAAGGAUGAAAAUCAAUGAAGCGGCUUCUGAUGCAAGUAAACAAAACUGUUAGGAGUUCGUAAUCCACCGUGAUCCAUAUCUUCUGUUUUAUUGGUCUACUAGACAAGAAGAACUGGAUUUACACAACCAUCAUUUUCUGGAUUAUUUGUUACUUGAGCAUAUUUCCCCCAUACAAUUUUCCCAGCUGGUGUGACAAGACCUAAUUCACUGACAUUCACCUCAAUGAUGGUUCCUUUGGUCAUAACACCAAGAGAUAUAUACAUUGGACCCUUAGGAUUUUUCUUCACUCCAAUUAUCUCCAGCUUAAAGGUGCAUUUGAGUUCAGGGUGUGUCACAUGGGCCUUUGUAAAACCCAAUCCUGAAGGGUGGAUAAAUCGCUCAUACUUGGGAGGUUUUCUGGUAAAACCUGGUCCCACAAAUGUGACUUUGGUGACCAUUCUCUUCCACUGCUUGGUCUUCCGCUAGCCAGAUCUAAUCACUUUAAACAUUUCAUCUUCUGCAACAGGCCUCACCUUAGGUAGAGGGACUUCCCAUUUCCCAGCCUUCUCUUUCCUCUUUUGC
Molecule: unclassified non-coding RNA, 748 nt
Filed under: Hevea brasiliensis (rubber tree)
Lineage: Eukaryota; Viridiplantae; Streptophyta; Magnoliopsida; Malpighiales; Euphorbiaceae
Source: RNAcentral